AACAUUUCUCGGCCUUUUGGCUAAGAUCAUGUGUAAUAUCUGUUCUUAUCAGUUUGAUUCUAUAUCAGCAUAUUUAUGUAUUUGUACCUUAAAAAUUUUGAAAAGACCUUCU
This is a small nuclear RNA of Centrocercus urophasianus (Greater sage-grouse), 112 nucleotides long. RefSeq annotates it as U2 spliceosomal RNA. The record is from RefSeq and is a predicted model, not a curated record. The transcript has a single exon. NCBI's taxonomy places the organism in Eukaryota, Metazoa, Chordata, Aves, Galliformes, Phasianidae.